This 463-nucleotide ribosomal RNA is filed under the name uncultured bacterium. Its description in RNAcentral is "partial 16S ribosomal RNA". It matches the Rfam family "Bacterial small subunit ribosomal RNA", at positions 30 to 507 of the family's 1533-position model. The record is from RNAcentral.
CGAACGCUGGCGGCGUGCUUAACACAUGCAAGUCGAACGGAAAGGCCCUGCUUGCAGGGUACUCGAGUGGCGAACGGGUGAGUAACACGUGGGUGAUCUGCCCUGCACUUCGGGAUAAGCCUGGGAAACUGGGUCUAAUACCGGAUAGGAGCCAUUUUUAGUGUGAUGGUUGGAAAGUUUUUUCGGUGUAGGAUGAGCUCGCGGCCUAUCAGCUUGUUGGUGGGGUAAUGGCCUACCAAGGCGGCGACGGGUAGCCGGCCUGAGAGGGUGGACGGCCACAUUGGGACUGAGGUACGGCCCAGACUCCUACGGGAGGCAGCAGUGGGGAAUAUUGCACAAUGGGCGCAAGCCUGAUGCAGCGACGCCGCGUGGGGGAUGACGGCCUUCGGGUUGUAAACUCCUUUCGCUAGGGACGAAGCUUUUUGUGACGGUACCUAGAUAAGAAGCACCGGCUAACUACGUG